GAUGAACGCUGGCGGCGUGCCUAAUACAUGCAAGUCGAGCGAACAGACGAGGAGCUUGCUCCUUUGACGUUAGCGGCGGACGGGUGAGUAACACGUGGAUAACCUACCUAUAAGACUGGGAUAACUUCGGGAAACCGGAGCUAAUACCGGAUAACAUGUUGAACCGCAUGGUUCAACAGUGAAAGACGGUCUUGCUGUCACUUAUAGAUGGAUCCGCGCCGCAUUAGCUAGUUGGUAAGGUAACGGCUUACCAAUGCAACGAUGCGUAGCCGACCUGAGAGGGUGAUCGGCCACACUGGAACUGAGACACGGUCCAGACUCCUACGGGAGGCAGCAGUAGGGAAUCUUCCGCAAUGGGCGAAAGCCUGACGGAGCAACGCCGCGUGAGUGAAGAAGGUCUUCGGAUCGUAAAACUCUGUUAUUAGGGAAGAACAAAUGUGUAAGUAACUAUGCACGUCUUGACGGUACCUAAUCAGAAAGCCACGGCUAACUACGUG
This 497-nucleotide ribosomal RNA is filed under the name uncultured bacterium. RNAcentral describes it as "partial 16S ribosomal RNA". It matches the Rfam family "Bacterial small subunit ribosomal RNA", at positions 28 to 507 of the family's 1533-position model. The record is from RNAcentral.